AUGGUAAUAUCCAGGCCUUGGUUCCCUCUUCUCCUUACUGAUGUGCAAAUCUUUAGCAUUAAAGGAGAGGACUGUACGGGACACAGAGCGUAUCAAGUGUGUGUCCUCACAGGAGUUUGGAUGCUGAUGGUGUUGCCAGCUGGCCUCAGGAGUGAGAGCCCCCAGUUUGGCCCGUUACAGGUAAGAGAGCUUGGAGCGUCAUUUGUAUGUCUGAGGCCGGGAAAGCCAGGCUUUUCUCAGAAUUCCCAGAAAGAGGGUGCAGAGCCCACUAUGAGGUGUGAGGUCUGGACUGGGUAGACACUUUGUCGGCACACUACCUGGCACUCAGUCUCUAAGGCUCAUAAAUAACAGUGAUUCUAAGGUGGGAUUGAGAAGGACAAAGAUAUUUUAUCAUUGUGUUAGUUGGGGCUCUCUAGGGAAACAACCAAUAGGACACAUGCAUGCACAUGUGUACACUGUGUGUGUGUGUGUGUGUGUGUGUGUGUGCAGAAAGAGUUGAGAUUGCUUUUAUUUAAUACGUUGGUUUGAAUGAUCGUGUGGGCUGACAAGUCCAAACUGUAUAGGUUUGCAGACUUGAAAGUCCGGCGGGUUUCCAGUUGUUGCAAGUCCCAAGGCAGAUUUCCUUCUUGGGGAAACAUCUGGUGUUGCUCAUAAGGCCCUCACUUGAUGAGGUUCAGCCAUACUGGUGACGGCACUCCCCUUAAAGUCAACUAACUGUGCACGCUAUCUGUGUUUACAAAACACUUUUCCCGGCAAGGAGAUUAAACAUCCAAUAACAUUGGGUCACUUCACGCCAUGGCCUGGUCAGGUUGACAUGGAAGACUGAGGGUCACAGCCCACCCAGCCUUAACUUGGCACCCACACAUCCCUUUAGCCAUAUGUAAUCUCCAAAUGAAGAGAAUACCUAAGUCAUUUUCCUCCUAGCAUGGCACAUCUCUCCAGUGUACAAUUCAAACCACACAAAAACUCUCCCAACGAGGAUUCAAGGUUCUUGGGGGAAGUCCACUCUUUUCUUUGAUAUCCUGUAACUUGCAUACUAUGAUGUGAAGUUAACUAUUCUCAAUGCAUCUAUAUUUUGCCACGUGACGAAAUGAGAUUAGAUGAGAUGAGAAGAUAAGGAAGGGAAGAAAAGAAAUUUAUUUGAUAGGCAUACACACAGUCUAUAGGGGAGGAAGACGUCCUGGGGUGGGUCCUGGGUUGUGGCUUCUCUGCAAGGCACUGGAAAGUAGUCUGUUUCCGGACAGGCAUGUGGGAAGGGGAUCAUGUUGACAAACCUCUGUCCUCUUGCAGCACCAGUACCAACUCUGGUGCCUGCUCCACCCCAGCUCCAGAGCUAGCACCACUUUCAUUGCCAGCUCCUGUCCAGCACCCGUACCAAAUCUGGAGUUAGAGUCAUUUUUGGCACCAGCCCAACAGCUAGAUAUGGUGCCAGGUGACAAGUCCAGCACUAGUGCAUGCGACAGUUCCAGAGCUGGAGCCAGUACCAGCUCCAGUGCCACUUCCAGAUUCAGAGCCAGUGCCAGUUGCAGACACGGAGCCAGCUUGAUCACCAGAUAUGGUAUCAAAUCCAGAGCUGGUGUUCUAACCUAAGCUCCUGUAAAAGCCCUAGAACUCUAGCCAGCUCCAGAACAAGUUCCAGCCAGCUUCAGGGCUAGAACCAGGUCCAGCUCCAGCUUUGUCACACAACUGCAGAGAUAGAGGCAGCUCUGCCAACAUCCUUGCCAGCUCCAGUGCCAGCCAGCUCUAGAGUUUGGAUCAGACCCCACAUAAAUUCCAGAUUAACAGAUGACAGAAACGAACUGGGGCCUGCUCCAGUAUUAGCGCUGGCAACACAGCUGGAGCUACAGGCAGCUGUAGAGCUAGAGCCAUCUCUAGAGCUAGUGCCAGCGCCAGAACUAGCUUCAGCACCAGCUCAAGAGCUUGAGGGAGCUCCCGAGCCAGCUCCAGCCAAAGCUCCAGACUCAGUCAAUGCUACCACCAGCUUCUGCACCUGAUCCCCUGCUAUAGCCGGUUCCAUUCUCAGCUCUAGCAACAGAGUUCAGGCCAGCUCCACAGCUAAGGUUAACUCCUGCUCUGACACUUGCAUCAACUCCGGAGUUAGACGCAGCUUUUUUUUUUUUUCUUUUUUGCCAACUCUAGUGCCAGCCCAGUGAUAGUUCUAGUGCCCACUUGAGAGUGAGAAUCAGCCUGAAGCGCAUUCAGAGGCAGUGCCAGUUUCCAAGGAAGAGCUCGCUCCAGCACCUGUUCUAGCAUUGGCUCCAGAACUAGAGUCAGCACCAAGAUCAGAGCUAGAGGCUACACCAGCAACUGUUCUUGUACCAGGUCCGGAGCUGGAGUUCUCACAAGUGCCAACUCCUGCACCAGCUCCAGAGUGAAAGCCUGCACGGACACCAACCAGUAGCAGACUUAGAUCCAGUGUCCCCUCAAGAGAAAAGAACCGGCUUCAGCACCCACCUCAAAGCUAGAUCAUGCUCUGGCAUGAGCUAUACACCAACUCCUGGGCCAGAUCCUGUCCCUGCUCUCGUGUUAGCCUCUGCCCUGAUGCCAACCUCAUCGGUGGAGCCUGCAAAGAGCUACAACCAGCUCUACCACCCAUUUUACCACUGGCUACAGAGCUAGACCUAGGACUGGCUAUACACUAGAGCCACAAGCACCAGAUCUAGCAUGCAAAGCCAGAGUCAGCUCUAACACUAGCUCUCACACUGGUGCAGCUCGUGUACCACUUCCAUGAUUAGAGCCGUCUGUAACUCUAGUGCCAGCUAUAUCACUAGUCCCAGAGCAGUGGCCAGCUUCAAUACAAGAUCCACAGCUAAAGCCCCUCCAGCACCCACUCGGAAGUCGGAGCCAGCUUCAGUGUCAGCUACAGAGCCAGAGCCACAGUGGUAGCUCUAGCUUCAGCACCAGAGGUAGCGUCAGCUCUAGAACCAUAUCCAAAUGCAGAACCAGCUCUAGAUCUUCCAUGGAGGUGGACUCAGCAUUCUCACAGCUCUAACACCUGCCCCGGAGCUAGAGCCAGGUCCAACGCUGAUGCCUGCACCAGCUCCAGAAAUUGGGGCAGCGACAGUCUCAGCUCUCCUGCCAGUUCUGGGAUCAGAUUUCAAUAUUGAAUACGGGGAAACCUGGUCAAAUAAACACACACAUAAGGGUCCCUUUGAAAAUACAUGGGCAGAGACAUAAAGGUACCUGUUAGGUGAAUGUACUUGUAGGAAACAUCCAGAACAGGUGAACAGAGAGAGAAAGCAGCUUAGGGGUUCCAGGUGCUGGUUUGGGUAGAAAUGGGCAGGGAGGGCUUCUGGUUCAGGUGGUCCUUUGGGGAGCGAUGAGGGCUUCUGGUUUGGGAUGUCCUUUCCGCACCUAAGUUCUGUGACAUUGUGUCUUAGCGUUGGAAAUGUACUUAAUGCUCAUGAGUUGCUCAAUUGAAAAUAACUAAAUCUGUUUAAAAUCCAAAGUAGAGAACAGCAGAAAGAAUGUGAAAAAACAAAAACAAAAAGAGACAAAGCAAAAACAAACACAAAAGCAAACAGAAGCCACAAUAGGGGAGAGGAACACUCCACAGAGUGUUGAGUGGGGCAUCGGGCUGAAACCGUGCAUUGGGAGCUGGCAGUGAGGGUAGCUCCAGGGCUGGCGCUCCCUGAGGGCUGCUGGGUCCCAAGCUGGCUCAAUCUCUUCUGCAAAGGGAGGUGCAGAGCUGGCUCCAGGUCCCCAGGUGGUGGAUCCUGCCCUGGCUCUAGCUUGCUUUCUGGAGCCCCUGCAGGAGGCGGGCACUAGAGGCGGAGCUGCUGCUGCAGGAAGCAUGACUCGGACUGAUGGAAAUGCCUGUAGAUCCCGAGCUGGCGUUGCUUCUGCUGCUGCUUCUGGGGCUGGAUCGAGAUCUUCAGAUUGUAGAGGAUCUGUGGCUGCAGCCACCACAAGCUGCUGAGGUGACCAUGAAGCUGCAAGAGGAGAUCAACAUGUCUGCCUUCCAGAAGGGCCUUUCCAGAGUAGGAAUAUCCCACUGCAUUUUCUAGAA
Molecule: long non-coding RNA, 4009 nt
Filed under: Canis lupus familiaris (dog)
Lineage: Eukaryota; Metazoa; Chordata; Mammalia; Carnivora; Canidae
Description: lncRNA (ENSCAFG00040002079.1)
Source: RNAcentral